GUCCUGUUCUGCUUCAGUUCUGCGGUGUCCCUCAAAUGGGGACAUCAGGGAGCUAUCACCUGACAGUGAGUGCGCAUCAUUAGAUGCGUUCUCAUUGUGCUGCGGGCACUAGGACUAUGCAGCGUUUCAGUAGCGUCAUUGCAUUGUAAUAUGGGCCUAUCAGCCUGCCAUUUUUCAGGCUGGCCUGCCCAUUAUUAGUGUCACUUGUGACAUGGGUCACGUCAGUGAUGACCCUUGACGGCCCUUCCCAUAACAUCUCAAUUCUUCCCUUCCGAUUGUUGGCGACCAAUGUGCCUGUCCUUGCUGCCCUACACAAUGCAGCCUUGCUUUUAAUUGCUUUGUUUCCCAGAGAACCCACUGUGCCAAGCAAGUAUGCCAUGACAUUAAAUGCAUAGCCACGUAGUCAUUCUCAAUGUCUGCACGGUGCAGCCUUGUCAUGUGCCCAGCAAGUGUGCCCUAGC
Pelobates cultripes (western spadefoot toad) is the source of this 461-nucleotide non-coding RNA. The record is from the annotation of a GenBank genome assembly. Lineage: Eukaryota; Metazoa; Chordata; Amphibia; Anura; Pelobatidae.